UACGUAGGGUGCGAGCGUUGUCCGGAAUUAUUGGGCGUAAAGAGCUCGUAGGCGGUGUGUCACGUCGGCCGUGAAAACCUGGGGCUUAACUCUGGGCGUGCGGUCGAUACGGGCAUCACUAGAGUUCGGCAGGGGAGACUGGAAUUCCUGGUGUAGCGGUGAAAUGCGCAGAUAUCAGGAGGAACACCGGUGGCGAAGGCGGGUCUCUGGGCCGAUACUGACACUGAGGCACGAAAGCGUGGGGAGCAAACAGG
RNAcentral lists this ribosomal RNA (254 nucleotides) under uncultured bacterium. RNAcentral's name for it is "partial 16S ribosomal RNA". It matches the Rfam family "Bacterial small subunit ribosomal RNA", at positions 524 to 776 of the family's 1533-position model. The record is from RNAcentral.